AUGAUCAAAACAUGGCUUGGUUUACAUGAUGUUCAUCCUACGGACUGCGGAGGCAUGGUUUCCGUCAAGGAGUGGUGGCGCAGCAACACUUAAGGGAGGUCGCAGUCUCGAAGGCCGCUUGUUUCCCUUAUUCCUAUCUCUUGGGAAAUCUGGAAUCAGCGAAAUGCUCAGGUGUUCCGCAACAAUGCGACUCCGGUCGUUGUGCUUGUGACACAUCAAAGCGGAGGCAUCAUCGGGGUGCCUUGCCGGGCAAAAUAUUUGUGUAAUAUAAUGCCGCGAGAGUGA
This 285-nucleotide ribosomal RNA is filed under the name Triticum aestivum (bread wheat). Its description in RNAcentral is "partial small subunit ribosomal RNA". The record is from RNAcentral. Lineage: Eukaryota; Viridiplantae; Streptophyta; Magnoliopsida; Poales; Poaceae.